CUACGGGUUGCUGCAGUGAGGAAUUUUGCGCAAUGGGGGAAACCCUGACGCAGCAACGCCGCGUGAGCGAAGAAGGCCCUCGGGUCGUAAAGCUCUGUCAAGUGGGAAAAAAAUUUUUUGAUCAAUAGUCAAAAGACUUGAUGGUACCACUGGAGGAAGCACCGGCUGACUCCGUGCCAGCAGCCGCGGUAAUACGGAGGGUGCGAGCGUUGUUCGGAUUUACUGGGCGUAAAGAGCGUGUAGGCGGUUUAGCAAGUCAGAUGUGAAAGCCCUGGGCUCAACCCGGGAAGUGCAUUUGAAACUGCUUCACUAGAGUAUGGGAGAGGAGAUUGGAAUUCCUGGUGUAGAGGUGAAAUUCGUAGAUAUCAGGAGGAACACCCGUGGCGAAGGCGAUUCUCUGGACCAAUACUGACGCUGAGACGCGAAAGCGUGGGGAGCAAACAGGAUUAGAUACCCCCGUAGUC
This 464-nucleotide ribosomal RNA is filed under the name uncultured bacterium. RNAcentral's name for it is "partial 16S ribosomal RNA". It matches the Rfam family "Bacterial small subunit ribosomal RNA", at positions 339 to 795 of the family's 1533-position model. The record is from RNAcentral.